GGCGACCGGCGCACGGGUGAGUAACACGUAUCCAACCUGCCGAUGACUCGGGGAUAGCCUUUCGAAAGAAAGAUUAAUACCCGAUGGCAUAGUUCUUCCGCAUGGUAGAACUAUUAAAGAAUUUCGGUCAUCGAUGGGGAUGCGUUCCAUUAGCUUGUUGGCGGGGUAACGGCCCACCAAGGCAUCGAUGGAUAGGGGUUCUGAGAGGAAGGUCCCCCACAUUGGAACUGAGACACGGUCCAAACUCCUACGGGAGGCAGCAG
Molecule: ribosomal RNA, 263 nt
Filed under: uncultured bacterium
Lineage: Bacteria
Description: partial 16S ribosomal RNA
Rfam family: Bacterial small subunit ribosomal RNA
Source: RNAcentral